This 2274-nucleotide long non-coding RNA is filed under the name Mus musculus (house mouse). RNAcentral describes it as "long non-coding RNA chr12:89426258-89428532". Lineage: Eukaryota; Metazoa; Chordata; Mammalia; Rodentia; Muridae. The record is from RNAcentral.
AGGUAACUUUUCUUCACGGGUACAGUUUAUUACAAAGUGCCUGUGAAUUGUUUGUCUUCUUAAUUAAAGGUUUGGUUGUAUUUCCAAGGGGUUGUUAAUAAUGAUAAUGAUGGUAGAGUCACUUAUCAAAUGUGUGAUCCUGUUUGAGUUAUUCGUUAUUCAGAGCCUAGUGUUUCUCAUUUGUACAGAAAGGUUUAUAGUGGCACCCACCACAUAUGGUUAUUGUGAUAAUUAAAAGAGAGCAUGCAGGUAAGGUUGUGCAUGUGUGCUCACAUAAAAAACACUCAAUAAAUGUUAGCUAUUAUUACUGUUGUCAGCUACUCCAUGGGAGUUAUUUUGUAAAACACUGUACUUCCAUUGCUGUUGCCUGAAACCUCAGUAAAUCAUUCUUUCCCACCCCCACCCCGCACACCCUGGAUUACUAUAUAAUUUGUGGAUAUUUCUACCCUAAGGAACUUCCCCCAAAGCACAAUGACUUAUAGCUGAAAAGAAAGAUCCUUCUUCAUAUGGUUUUUAGAACACUCAGUUCAAACAUAAAAUUCAGCAAAUGCAAGAUGUACUGUUUAUUCUUUAUUUUCCAAGGAAGCAAGGUUCAUUAAUUGGAUCAAUUUCCUACAGAGCAAACAUCGAUCUUAAAUAUCCUCAUUUAACAUUCUCUCAAAUUUUGGCACCCCUUCCCAUUCCACUGAGUUGUGUGAAGACCCAAUCAUGACAUAUAGGAAAAGGUGCUUAUUUUUUUUAACUCCAUGUUGUUGAGGGGAUUGGUCAUUGAUAUUCUCUGGAGAUCUACAUUUGAUACUUCCUCCAAAGCUCCAUAUAAAAGCAUCUCCGAAAUAUUUCCUCCUGUCUUCAAAAUGCAGCUGGGUAUAAGCUUUCUUUCCUCUUACUAUAUUUCAGAUGGUCCGCUUUGAUACCUGAGUAACAUACUUCAGUGUAGAGUAGGAAGGUAUACUUCGUUACUUCAACUAUACUCCCAAGAAGGAAAGGUCUGUGCCCGAUUAGUCUCUUUGUCGCCCACAGGGCAAGACCAUGUAUCUUCCUUGCAGUAAUGCCUCGACAGAUAUUUGAUUAAUGAGAAAACAAGCUUGUGAAAACCCAUACACAAUACCAAAUUCUGUGGAUUAUGUAGAAAUAGUAAAGGCAAAUAAAGAUACAGCAGUUUCAAUGUUCAAAUUAAUAGCAAAAUAUUUUGCAAUUAGAAACUAAUUAGAAAUCCACUUUCAUUGUAUCCAUCUCAUUACUCAGUGAGUCAGCGCAUAUUGAGCACCUUCCAGGAGCCAAACAUUAUGCUCAGUGCUAGUAUUUCAACUCAAGAAAAUAAAUAUUUCCACUCUACGAAGCCUGCAGUCCUGAAGAAAUAAGAAAGAGUUAUAAAUCUAUAACUUGUUUUUGCAGAUUACACAUUAGAUCAUUCUUUAUAAAAAUAGGUCACUGAAGAGUUCUUGAGUUCCAUUUGUCAGUUAUUAAUUAUAGCACUGUGGUCACUGUUCAUUAGAUUGAAUUUGGCUAUUGAUAGUAGGUCAGGCAAAUUGUUUUCUAGUUAAAAUAAUUACUUAGCUACUGAGUGAAAUUUGCUUUGAAUUACUUUUCAUAAACACAGGUAAUUGGGCAUGUCCUGCUCAGUUAUAAAUACACAUACCAAAGUACAUUGAUCUACUUUCAUUGGUAAUGAGUUUUGAAAACCAUAGCUUUGGUGCUUAAACUUACUUUUCUUCGCUUAUUGAAAAGUCCAGAGGGCAUAAGCAAACUUCAGAGAAUAUUUCCACAUAACAAGAAAAAAAUUAACUAAUGAAAUUUCUGGACAUAUAUCUUAAUUUAAAAAAUCAUAAGCAAUUCUGUACUGACAUGGAUUCAACCAAUAUGAUCGAAAAUGCAUUUCUCAGUUAUUGACCUGUAUCUGGUUUACAAUGAAAAAAAGGAAAGUUUUCUUUAAUAAUUCAAACUAAUUUAUUGCUCUUAAGUCCAGAAUAACAGAAAGUAGCUUGAAAGUCACAUUUUAUAUUUCUAAAUAUAUAUGCCUGAAUAUUAAUGAUGUUUUGAAAUAUUUCCACCUAAUGGAUCAUUUGAAUAAAGUGAUUUAAAAUAGUCAUUAUUUCAUGUACUUCUUUGUGAUUAGAACAUUGAAAAAAAAUCUAUUCUCAGCAAGAUCCAACAAAUAAAACAAAUGAUUCUAGUCACCAUGUUGCACAAUGGAUUCCUCAAACUUCUUUAUUGUGUCUAAUUGAAAAGUUUCCAUUAAGCAACAUAUUGAUAACCUUACCCUUUCUCAUCUCC